RNAcentral lists this ribosomal RNA (253 nucleotides) under uncultured bacterium. Its description in RNAcentral is "partial 16S ribosomal RNA". It matches the Rfam family "Bacterial small subunit ribosomal RNA", at positions 524 to 776 of the family's 1533-position model. The record is from RNAcentral.
UACGUAGGGUGCAAGCGUUGUCCGGAAUUAUUGGGCGUAAAGAGCUCGUAGGCGGUUUGUCGCGUCGAAUGUGAAAACCCGGGGCUCAACCCCGGGCCUGCAUUCGAUACGGGCAGACUAGAGUUCGGUAGGGGAGUCUGGAAUUCCUGGUGUAGCGGUGAAAUGCGCAGAUAUCAGGAGGAACACCGGUGGCGAAGGCGGGACUCUGGGCCGAUACUGACACUGAAGCGCGAAAGCUAGGGGAGCAAACGGG